AGUGGCGGACGGGUGAGUAACGCGUGAGAAUCUGCCUUGGGGUCGGGGACAACCACUGGAAACGGUGGCUAAUACCGGAUAAGCCGAUUGGUGAAAGAUUUAUUGCCCGAAGAGGAGCUCGCGUCUGAUUCCUAGUUGGUGAGGUAAGAGCUCACCAAGGCAGCGAUCAGUAGCUGGUCUGAGAGGACGAUCAGCCACACUGGGACUGAGACACGGCCCAGACUCCUACGGGAGGCAGCAGUGGGGAAUUUUCCGCAAUGGGCGAAAGCCUGACGGAGCAAGACCGCGUGAGGGAGGAAGGCUCUUGGGUUGUAAACCUCUUUUCUCAGGGAAGAAGCUCUGACGGUACCUGAGGAAUCAGCCUCGGCUAACUCCGUGCCAGCAGCCGCGGUAAUACGGAGGAGGCAAGCGUUAUCCGGAAUUAUUGGGCGUAAAGCGUCCGCAGGUGGCGAUUCAAGUCUGCUGUCAAAGCACGGGGCUUAACUCCGUAAAGGCAGUGGAAACUGAAUAGCUAGAGUGCCGUAGGGGUAGAGGGAAUUCCCGGUGUAGCGGUGAAAUGCGUAGAGAUCGGGAAGAACAUCGGUGGCGAAAGCGCUCUACUGGACGGCAACUGACACUCAGGGACGAAAGCUAGGGGAGCGAAUGGGAUUAGAUACCCC
This 659-nucleotide ribosomal RNA is filed under the name uncultured bacterium. RNAcentral describes it as "bacterial SSU rRNA". It matches the Rfam family "Bacterial small subunit ribosomal RNA", at positions 94 to 788 of the family's 1533-position model. The record is from RNAcentral.